Molecule: ribosomal RNA, 435 nt
Filed under: uncultured bacterium
Lineage: Bacteria
Description: partial 16S ribosomal RNA
Rfam family: Bacterial small subunit ribosomal RNA
Source: RNAcentral
GAUGAACGCUGGCGGUAUGCUUAACACAUGCAAGUCGAACGGACUCUUCGGAGUUAGUGGCGGUCGGGUGGGUAACGCGUGAUAAUCUGGCUUUGGGUUCGGGACAACCACUGGAAACGGUGGCUAAUACCGGAUGUGCCGAGAGGUAAAAGAGAAAUUGCCUGAAGAUGAGCUCGCGUCUGAUUAGCUGGUUUGUGAGGUAAAGGCUCACAAAGGCAGCGAUCAGUAGCUGGUCUGAGUGGAAGACCAGACACACUGGGACUGAGACACGGCCCAGACUCCUACGGGAGGGGGGAGGGGGGAAUUUUCCGCAAGGGGCGAAAGCCUGACGGAGCAAUACCGCGUGAGGGAAGAAGGCUCUUGGGGUGUAAACCUCUUUUCUGAGGGAAGAACAAAAUGACGGUACCGAAGGAAUAAGCAUCGGCUAACUACGUG